This 546-nucleotide ribosomal RNA is filed under the name uncultured bacterium. RNAcentral describes it as "bacterial SSU rRNA". It matches the Rfam family "Bacterial small subunit ribosomal RNA", at positions 356 to 896 of the family's 1533-position model. The record is from RNAcentral.
GGGGAAUAUUGCGCAAUGGGGGCAACCCUGACGCAGCCAUGCCGCGUGAAUGAAGAAGGCCUUCGGGUUGUAAAGUUCUUUCGGUAGCGAGGAAGGCAUUUAGUUUAAUAGACUAGAUGAUUGACGUUAACUACAGAAGAAGCACCGGCUAACUCCGUGCCAGCAGCCGCGGUAAUACGGAGGGUGCGAGCGUUAAUCGGAAUAACUGGGCGUAAAGGGCACGCAGGCGGUGACUUAAGUGAGGUGUGAAAGCCCCGGGCUUAACCUGGGAAUUGCAUUUCAUACUGGGUCGCUAGAGUACUUUAGGGAGGGGUAGAAUUCCACGUGUAGCGGUGAAAUGCGUAGAGAUGUGGAGGAAUACCGAAGGCGAAGGCAGCCCCUUGGGAAUGUACUGACGCUCAUGUGCGAAAGCGUGGGGAGCAAACAGGAUUAGAUACCCUGGUAGUCCACGCUGUAAACGAUGUCGAUUUGGGGGUUGAACUUUAAGUUUGGCGCCCGUAGCUAACGUGAUAAAUCGACCGCCUGGGGAGUACGGCCGCAAGGUUA